UCAAGAUCGUCGAAAGAAUCGUAACCUUGCAUCUCAAACAACAAAACAGCUAUUACAACAACAAACAACCUAUCCACGCUACUAACUCCCUAUCCCAAAAAAACAAAACAGGGUAAAGUAUACAUUCUAUUUCAUCUAUAAUCCCAUCAACAACAUUAGCAGCAUCAAUCCCUUUAUUUCCUGCAUUUCGGGAACAUCUCGUGUACCAGAUAUGAGCAACGGUAUAGCUCCCCAUAUAGCCCUACCUUCCUUCACUGUUUUCGAGCAGCCAUUGAGCUUCCUUCCCACGGUCUCAACCUCCAAAUCUCAAUCAACAACAGACUUAUAAUCGGGAUCAAAACAACUUUGAAUACCAUUGAAGUAAGAGCAGCUAGUACUAAACAGAUGACACAUAUCAUCCACUCCAUCAUCGCACAUGAGACACGAAAUGUCUCGAGUUAGUUCCCAACACACCAUAUCACUAUUUGUCACCAACCUCCCCUUGACUGUCAUCCAUCUAAUGAAGUAGUGUGUAGGGAUAGACGAUCCUUUCGAUAUAAGAUUGCAUCACAAGACCUCUUGACUCUUUUUUCCUUAUGCCAUUCCAAACUCUAGAAACAUAAUAACGUAUAUGUCAUAUAAUCUCUUGUCCACAUCAGAUUUCCAAAAGCGACAGACUUAAAAUCAGGACCAAAAAAACUUCGAAUACCAUUGGAUCCCCAUCAUCAUCUUGAUCAAUAAACGGAGUAUCAAUAGUUCUCACCAUAUCAUAAGAAUUUUUCGUCAGACCCAAGAAUAGUACCACACCAACAAAGCUGACUCGAAAUUAGGUACCGCACCAACAAAAUGUUUUUACGUACUAAGUUUUAUGGGCUUGAUUGUUGUUACAAGAGAUUUGUGCGUGGAGGGAUUCUUUUGGAUUACUAGACACCGUUGACUCAACUUGUCAACAAAGGAACGAUUAUUUGCGUGAAUGAGAAGUUUGGAGGAGGAUUUCAGGAGUUGGAGAUAGCUUACUAUAUAUGCUGCCCCCCUACUACUCGCUUUUCCCUGAAAUGAUAGAGAGCAAUGAAUUUACAAUGAUGUAACAUAUUAACCACCUAGUUAUAUAUCGAUUUUUUUUAGAAAACGGCGCCAAAGCGUGAAAGAAAAACUUCAAUAAUGUCAUAGUUAAGGCAGUGAAACAAACUUCAAUUUGGCGAAUUGAAAAAAUUAAAAUCAUAUAAAAAAAGUAGCAUUGAUUAGCCAAAUUAUCUACGACACCAUUUAUUUCGCGGUGGAAAAUGAGUUAUAUAUCAAUGGAUGCAAGCUAAAAUAAAAGUUGAAAAAAUCCCUAUAAACUCUAAAAUGUCAAAAAUAAUAAUCCACUUUUCUUUGUCGUGGUCACUAGUUAUCUCGACCGUGGUCUCCAUUUCCAAUUGGAAAUGUCUUGUGAGGCGGUGGAGUUAAAAAAUUGAUCAAGAGAAUUUUGUAGGUAAAAAAAUUAAAUAUACGGUGCUUUUCCUAGACCACGGCCUUAGUUGUUCUAAUAUUAUAUUAUUAUUUUUAUAUUUUGAGAAGAAUUAGUAUUUUCUUAUAUGCGGUCUAAUGUCAUUUAAAUUGUAUACAACUCGGUCUAGUACAAUAAAUCAUUCUGGAUCUGCUGCUGCUUGAGUUAGUAUAUAUUUGAUUUGGUAGGCUCGCGAGUUUGAGAGCUCACUAUUAAUAGAGUAUUCAAUAAACCAACAUAUGCAAUAAAUUACCUGUUGGUGGCAGCCGUGCUCGGAAGUAAACAAAGUUUGAGUUGAGGUCGUCAAAGAUAGUUAACGAACCAGACUUUGAAUAUGCCCGAGCUCGACAUGCAAGAGUUAUUUUUUUUUUUACCUCGAAUGAGAGCUCGAGCCAAACUUGAGUACUAUAAUGAAACUUAGCUCUGCUCGUGACAAACCCUAUUUAAAGCCAACUUGAUUAUAAUGUUCAAUCUUGGCCAUGAACACUUCAAUUGAAC
Molecule: long non-coding RNA, 1966 nt
Filed under: Linum usitatissimum (flax)
Lineage: Eukaryota; Viridiplantae; Streptophyta; Magnoliopsida; Malpighiales; Linaceae
Description: long non-coding RNA (LUSI_LNC005792)
Source: RNAcentral